UACGUAGGGUGCAAGCGUUGUCCGGAAUUAUUGGGCGUAAAGAGCUCGUAGGCGGUUUGUCGCGUCUGCUGUGAAAACCCGAGGCUCAACCUCGGGCCUGCAGUGGGUACGGGCAGACUAGAGUGCGGUAGGGGAGAUUGGAGUUCCUGGUGUAGCGGUGGAAUGCGCAGAUAUCAGGAGGAACACCGGUGGCGAAGGCGGUUCUCUGGGCAUGUCCUGACGCUGAGGAGCGAAAGUGUGGGGAGCGAACAGG
This 253-nucleotide ribosomal RNA is filed under the name uncultured bacterium. RNAcentral describes it as "partial 16S ribosomal RNA". It matches the Rfam family "Bacterial small subunit ribosomal RNA", at positions 524 to 776 of the family's 1533-position model. The record is from RNAcentral.